CCUACGGGUGGCUGCAGUGAGGAAUAUUGGUCAAUGGGCGUAAGCCUGAACCAGCCAAGUAGCGUGCAGGAUGACGGCCCUAUGGGUUGUAAACUGCGUUUAUGCGGGGAUAAAGUGAGGGACGUGUCCUUCAUUGCAGGUACCGCAUGAAUUAGGACCGGCUAAUUCCGUGCCAGCAGCCGCGGUAAUACGGAAGGUCCGGGCGUUAUCCGGAUUUAUUGGGUUUAAAGGGAGCGUAGGCCGUGGAUUAAGCGUGUUGUGAAAUGUAGACGCUCAACGUCGGACUUGCAGCGCGAACUGGUACACUUGAGUGUGCACAACGCAGGCGGAAUUCGUCGUGUAGCGGUGAAAUGCUUAGAUAUGACGAAGAACCCCGAUUGCGAAGGCAGCUUGCGGGAGCACGACUGACGCUGAAGCUCGAAAGUGCGGGUAUCGAACAGGAUUAGAUACCCGGGUAGUC
This 460-nucleotide ribosomal RNA is filed under the name uncultured Prevotella sp. RNAcentral's name for it is "bacterial SSU rRNA". It matches the Rfam family "Bacterial small subunit ribosomal RNA", at positions 338 to 795 of the family's 1533-position model. The record is from RNAcentral. Lineage: Bacteria; Pseudomonadati; Bacteroidota; Bacteroidia; Bacteroidales; Prevotellaceae.